UAAAGUGGUACGCGAGCUGGGUUUAGAACGUCGUGAGACAGUUCGGUCCCUAUCUGCCGUGGGCGCUGGAGAACUGAGGGGGGCUGCUCCUAGUACGAGAGGACCGGAGUGGACGCAUCACUGGUGUGCUCCUCGUCCAUAUUGCCGGUUACCGCCUGGAUAUCAACAGGACGCCCCUCCGCCUGCAUUCUGGCAAAACUGCGCGCCAGAAAAUCGAAAUUAUUUAAUGAAUAGACGUUAUUGUUGUUCAUC
RNAcentral lists this ribosomal RNA (252 nucleotides) under Salmonella enterica subsp. enterica serovar Anatum. RNAcentral's name for it is "partial 23S ribosomal RNA". It matches the Rfam family "Bacterial large subunit ribosomal RNA", at positions 2589 to 2795 of the family's 2925-position model. The record is from RNAcentral. Lineage: Bacteria; Pseudomonadati; Pseudomonadota; Gammaproteobacteria; Enterobacterales; Enterobacteriaceae.